This 388-nucleotide long non-coding RNA is filed under the name Bos taurus (domestic cattle). RNAcentral's name for it is "long non-coding RNA NONBTAT015073". The record is from RNAcentral. Lineage: Eukaryota; Metazoa; Chordata; Mammalia; Artiodactyla; Bovidae.
UGACUCACAUUAUCUACAUUAUUUUUUGUCUUCCUCACAAAUAUGACCUUCAUUAAGAUCAGUGUUACAGUAUAUUUCAUCACAUAUGCUGGCCAGGUUUAAUUUGCCAGUUAAAUGUUAUUUGUUUAUAUAACAGAUACACAUACAAACAUACAACAAACAGGAAGGAUGGUGAGAUGUCAUUAUCAUUAACAGACUAUUUAACUCCUUUAUUUGGAGUAAGAGUAUAGAUCAAUGUCUUUUGUCCUAUUGUAAGUCCUAUAAAAAUAAACAGCCAUCAUUUAGGUAGAGAAGGUCUCUAUUGGAACUGCCAUUAGCAAAAUUGAAAUGUAAGAGACCAUCUAGUUAGGAUGUUACAUCUGUGUUUUAAUAUAAAUCUGUUUUCUCG